CACGUAGGGUGCAAGCGUUGUCCGGAAUCAUUGGGCGUAAAGAGCUCGUAGGCGGCUUAGUAAGUCGGGUGUGAAAACCCCAGGCUCAACCUGGGGACGCCACCCGAUACUGCUAUAGCUAGAGUCCAGUAGGGGAGUGUGGAAUUCCCAGUGUAGCGGUGAAAUGCGCAGAUAUUGGGAGGAACACCAAUGGCGAAGGCAGCUUGCUGGGACGGUACUGACGCUGAGACGCGAAAGCGUGGGGAGCAAACAGG
This 254-nucleotide ribosomal RNA is filed under the name uncultured bacterium. RNAcentral's name for it is "partial 16S ribosomal RNA". It matches the Rfam family "Bacterial small subunit ribosomal RNA", at positions 524 to 776 of the family's 1533-position model. The record is from RNAcentral.